This 253-nucleotide ribosomal RNA is filed under the name uncultured bacterium. RNAcentral's name for it is "partial 16S ribosomal RNA". It matches the Rfam family "Bacterial small subunit ribosomal RNA", at positions 524 to 776 of the family's 1533-position model. The record is from RNAcentral.
UACGAAGGGGGCGAGCGUUGUUCGGAUUUACUGGGCGUAAAGGGCGCGUAGGCGGCCGAUCAAGUCAGGCGUGAAAGCCCCGGGCUCAACCUGGGAAUGGCGCUUGGGGCUGGUUGGCUUGAGUUCGGGAGAGGAGAGUGGAAUUCCCAGUGUAGAGGUGAAAUUCGUAGAUAUUGGGAAGAACACCGGUGGCGAAGGCGGCUCUCUGGACCGAGACUGACGCUGAGGCGCGAAAGCGUGGGGAGCAAACAGG